CCUACGGGCGGCAGCAGUGAGGAAUAUUGGUCAAUGGGCGCGAGCCUGAACCAGCCAAGUCGCGUGAGGGAGGACGGCCCUACGGGUUGUAAACCUCUUUUGCCGGGGAGCAACGUGCGUCACGUGUGGCGCCACUGAGAGUACCCGGAGAAAAAGCAUCGGCUAACUCCGUGCCAGCAGCCGCGGUAAUACGGAGGAUGCGAGCGUUAUCCGGAUUUAUUGGGUUAAAAGGGUGCGUAGGCGGAUCGUUAAGUAAGUGGUAAAAUUGAGGGGCUCAACCCCUUCCCGCCAUUGAAACUGGCGCUCUUGAGUGGAAGAGAAGUAUGCGGAAUGCGUGGUGUAGCGGUGAAAUGCAUAGAUAUCACGCAGAACCCCGAUUGCGAAGGCAGCAUGCCGGCUUCCGACUGACGCUGAAGCACGAAAGCGUGGGGAUCGAACAGGAUUAGAUACCCCAGUAGUC
Molecule: ribosomal RNA, 460 nt
Filed under: uncultured bacterium
Lineage: Bacteria
Description: partial 16S ribosomal RNA
Rfam family: Bacterial small subunit ribosomal RNA
Source: RNAcentral